Molecule: ribosomal RNA, 492 nt
Filed under: uncultured bacterium
Lineage: Bacteria
Description: partial 16S ribosomal RNA
Rfam family: Bacterial small subunit ribosomal RNA
Source: RNAcentral
AGUGAACGCUGGCGGUAGGCCUAACACAUGCAAGUCGAACGGCAGCACAGUAAGCGCUUGCUCUUACGGGUGGCGAGUGGCGGACGGGUGAGGAAUACAUCGGAAUCUACUUUUUCGUGGGGGAUAACGUAGGGAAACUUAUGCUACUACCGAAUACGACCUACGGGUGAAAGCAGGGGAUCUUCGUACCUUUCGCGAUUGAAUGAGCCGAUGUCGGAUUAGCUAGUUGGCGGGGUAAAGGCCCACCAAGGCGACGAUCCGUAGCUGGUCUGAGAGGAUGAUCAGCCACACUGGAACUGAGACACGGUCCAGACUCCUACGGGAGGCAGCAGUGGGGAAUAUUGGACAAUGGGCGAAAGCCUGAUGCAGCCAUACCGCGUGGGUGAAGAAGGCCUUCGGGUUGUAAAGCCCUUUUGUUGGGAAAGAAAAGCAGCAGGUUAAUACGCCGCUGUUCUGACGGUACCCAAAGAAUAAGCAACGGCUAACUUCGUG